Molecule: non-coding RNA, 1734 nt
Organism: Kogia breviceps (pygmy sperm whale)
Lineage: Eukaryota; Metazoa; Chordata; Mammalia; Artiodactyla; Physeteridae
Source: RefSeq, a predicted model, not a curated record
GUGCGCACGUGCUCGGCGUCCCGGGCUGCGGCAGAGGCGGAGGUGAGCGCGCGGAGCUGGCCAGGCCUACGUGCGGCUGCGGGCGGGCUCUCUCGGAGGUUUACAGAGGUGGCAGCCCUCAUGGCAGGUCCCCUGUGGCGGGCCACAGCCUUUGUGCAGAGACACAGGACGGUCCUGUUGGUGGGUUCCUGUGCAGGCCUGUUUGCGGCUCAGAUCUCGUACCAUCUCUUCCCGGAUCCUGUGGUCCCGUGGCUGUACCAGUACUGGCCUCAGGGCCAGCCAGCCCCCCUGUCCCCAGAGCUGCAGAGCCUGUUCCGGGAGGUGCAGCAGGACAUCGGGGUCCCCUCAGGCCACCGCUUCGAGGCCUUCACCACCUUCACCUUCCAGCCUGUGAGCGCCGGCUUCCCUAGACUCCCUGCCGGGGCCGUGGUGGGCAUUCCCGCCAGCUUCCUGGGUGGCCCAGUGGCCAACGCUGACCGGCCCGUGGUCGUCCACGGGCAGCGAGUGGACUGGCAGAGCCCAGCGGGCGCCCGGCUGAGAGAUGCCCUGAUCCUGUCCCACGACGCCCAGAAGUUCGCCUUGGCCAGGGAGGUGGUGUACCUGGAGAGCGGGGCAGCCGCCCUGCAGGCCCUGCCGGCCCCCGCCUGCCUGGCGGGCACCUGGGCGCUGGGCGUGGGGGCCAAGCACGCCCUGGGGCUCUACGGAGGCCCCAUGAACUUGCGGGCCGCCUUCAACUUGGUGGCGGCAGUGGCGGGCUUCGUGGCCUAUGCCUUGUCCACAGACUCUCUCACUCAUGCCCUGGAAGCCUGGCUGGACCGCCGCACGGCCUCACUGUCUGCAGCCUAUGCCUGGGGCGGGGUGGAGUUCUACGAGAAGCUUCUGUCGGGCAACCUGGCCCUGCGCGGCCUCCUGGGCCAGCCCGGGGAGAAGCUGUACACGCCCAGCGGGAACGUGGUUCCCAGACACUGGUUCCGCAUCAAACACCUGCCCUACACGGCCCGCCGGGACUCUGUGCUGCAGGCAUGGAGGGCGGCGCUCGGCCCCCGCAGCCCCUGAAGGCCUCGUUCCAGCUGGAGCAGAAAACCAGAUGCCCCUGUGAAGUGAUGGAGCCACAGACAGAUUCCCGGGAAUCCAGAGGUAACCAGCGAAGGAGUCCACUAGUGGGAACGGGGGCCCUCGCGGUGGGGACUCCCUGGGUGCUGCCUGCAAGGACAGAUGACAAGAGGCGGCCCGGUGGCUGCACACACCUGCCUUGGCCUCAUGAGCAUCUUCUCUUCCCUCUACCUGCCUCGAGGACAUAAUCCCAAGGAGAGGGCAGAGACAAACACUGAAAUGACUGAAAUCAGGUUACCUCAAAUACUUGGUGAAAUUGGAGUUCAAAAACAGAGCAAAAUAAAUUUACUUUUCUUGACCUGGGUCAGAGACAAGCAAAAACGCUACAGGGAAAGGGGGCAUAGAUUACACUGGGGUGUUGGGGGAAUGUGGACCUGGAAGGCUUCCUGGAGGAGGUGAGGCUGGAUCAAAAAUUGAACGUUCUUGGGACUUGAAGAACCUGGUGGCGCAGUGGUUAAGACUCGUGCUCCCAACGCAGGGGGCCCAGGUUCGAUCCCUGCCCAGGGAACUAGAUCCCACAUGUGUGCCGCAACUAAGAGUUCGCAAGCCACAACUAAGGAGCCAGUGAGCCGCAACUAAGAGCCGUCAAGAUACGUGUUCAACCACAAAUCACAGAAAGCC